This 1016-nucleotide ribosomal RNA is filed under the name uncultured bacterium. Its description in RNAcentral is "bacterial SSU rRNA". It matches the Rfam family "Bacterial small subunit ribosomal RNA", at positions 357 to 1376 of the family's 1533-position model. The record is from RNAcentral.
AGGAAUAUUGGUCAAUGGACGCAAGUCUGAACCAGCCAUGCCGCGUGCAGGAUGACGGCUCUAUGAGUUGUAAACUGCUUUUGUACGAGGGUAAACGCAGAUACGUGUAUCUGUCUGAAAGUAUCGUACGAAUAAGGAUCGGCUAACUCCGUGCCAGCAGCCGCGGUAAUACGGAGGAUUCAAGCGUUAUCCGGAUUUAUUGGGUUUAAAGGGUGCGUAGGCGGUUUGAUAAGUUAGAGGUGAAAUUUCGGGGCUCAACCCUGAACGUGCCUCUAAUACUGUUGAGCUAGAGAGUAGUUGCGGUAGGCGGAAUGUAUGGUGUAGCGGUGAAAUGCUUAGAGAUCAUACAGAACACCGAUUGCGAAGGCAGCUUACCAAACUAUAUCUGACGUUGAGGCACGAAAGCGUGGGGAGCAAACAGGAUUAGAUACCCUGGUAGUCCACGCAGUAAACGAUGAUAACUCGUUGUCGGCGAUACACAGUCGGUGACUAAGCGAAAGCGAUAAGUUAUCCACCUGGGGAGUACGUUCGCAAGAAUGAAACUCAAAGGAAUUGACGGGGGCCCGCACAAGCGGAGGAACAUGUGGUUUAAUUCGAUGAUACGCGAGGAACCUUACCCGGGCUUGAAAGUUAGCGACGAUUCUUGAAAGAGGAUUUCCCUUCGGGGCGCGAAACUAGGUGCUGCAUGGUUGUCGUCAGCUCGUGCCGUGAGGUGUCGGGUUAAGUCCCAUAACGAGCGCAACCCCUACCGUUAGUUGCCAUCAGGUGAAGCUGGGCACUCUGGCGGGACUGCCGGUGUAAGCCGAGAGGAAGGUGGGGAUGACGUCAAAUCAGCACGGCCCUUACGUCCGGGGCUACACACGUGUUACAAUGGUAGGUACAGAGGGCAGCUACCCAGCGAUGGGAUGCGAAUCUCGAAAGCCUAUCUCAGUUCGGAUUGGAGGCUGAAACCCGCCUCCAUGAAGUUGGAAUCGCUAGUAAUCGCAGAUCAGAAUGCUGCGGUGAAUACGUUCCCG